GCCGCAAUUUGAACACAAGCGGACGUCCAGCCGCCGUCGAUGGCGGCGUGAUUUAUUCCAUCAACAGAGCUAAUAUUAAUACGGCGCACUUCAUAUUCGUGAUGAACGACACUGCUGUUCCAAACUCCAUUGCGAUAUGAGGCACAGCUUGAGCGCUACAUUUGUUAUUCACCCUCGGUCCUCAAUGUAAAAGAUCUGCCACCGUCCUGCCGAAGCACCACCGGCCUCGCGAUGGGCGCUCUACUGCUACUAUUUCAUGCGAACGUGACGGAAAUCGUAAUUCAAAGUUGUAUUACAAAGAUAUGAACGUCAUAUUGACGGAACGAUUUAUGACAAAAAAUUUAUGUAAAUGUUUCGAAACUG
This is a long non-coding RNA of Melitaea cinxia (Glanville fritillary), 363 nucleotides long. RefSeq lists it as uncharacterized. Lineage: Eukaryota; Metazoa; Arthropoda; Insecta; Lepidoptera; Nymphalidae. The record is from RefSeq and is a predicted model, not a curated record. The transcript has 2 exons.